This 791-nucleotide ribosomal RNA is filed under the name Streptomyces violascens. RNAcentral's name for it is "bacterial SSU rRNA". It matches the Rfam family "Bacterial small subunit ribosomal RNA", at positions 71 to 876 of the family's 1533-position model. Lineage: Bacteria; Bacillati; Actinomycetota; Actinomycetes; Kitasatosporales; Streptomycetaceae. The record is from RNAcentral.
UGAAGCCCUUCGGGGUGGAUUAGUGGCGAACGGGUGAGUAACACGUGGGCAAUCUGCCCUUCACUCUGGGACAAGCCCUGGAAACGGGGUCUAAUACCGGAUAACACCUUCCACUGCAUGGUGGGGGGUUAAAAGCUCCGGCGGUGAAGGAUGAGCCCGCGGCCUAUCAGCUUGUUGGUGGGGUGAUGGCCUACCAAGGCGACGACGGGUAGCCGGCCUGAGAGGGCGACCGGCCACACUGGGACUGAGACACGGCCCAGACUCCUACGGGAGGCAGCAGUGGGGAAUAUUGCACAAUGGGCGAAAGCCUGAUGCAGCGACGCCGCGUGAGGGAUGACGGCCUUCGGGUUGUAAACCUCUUUCAGCAGGGAAGAAGCGAAAGUGACGGUACCUGCAGAAGAAGCGCCGGCUAACUACGUGCCAGCAGCCGCGGUAAUACGUAGGGCGCAAGCGUUGUCCGGAAUUAUUGGGCGUAAAGAGCUCGUAGGCGGCUUGUCACGUCGGAUGUGAAAGCCCGGGGCUUAACCCCGGGUCUGCAUUCGAUACGGGCUAGCUAGAGUGUGGUAGGGGAGAUCGGAAUUCCUGGUGUAGCGGUGAAAUGCGCAGAUAUCAGGAGGAACACCGGUGGCGAAGGCGGAUCUCUGGGCCAUUACUGACGCUGAGGAGCGAAAGCGUGGGGAGCGAACAGGAUUAGAUACCCUGGUAGUCCACGCCGUAAACGUUGGGAACUAGGUGUUGGCGACAUUCCACGUCGUCGGUGCCGCAGCUAACGCAUUAAGUUCCCCGCCUGG